Molecule: ribosomal RNA, 495 nt
Filed under: uncultured bacterium
Lineage: Bacteria
Description: partial 16S ribosomal RNA
Rfam family: Bacterial small subunit ribosomal RNA
Source: RNAcentral
GAUGAACGCUGGCGGCGUGCCUAAUACAUGCAAGUCGAGCGAACAGACGAGGAGCUUGCUCCUCUGACGUUAGCGGCGGACGGGUGAGUAACACGUGGAUAACCUACCUAUAAGACUGGGAUAACUUCGGGAAACCGGAGCUAAUACCGGAUAAUAUAUUGAACCGCAUGGUUCAAUAGUGAAAGACGGUUUUGCUGUCACUUAUAGAUGGAUCCGCGCCGCAUUAGCUAGUUGGUAAGGUAACGGCUUACCAAGGCAACGAUGCGUAGCCGACCUGAGAGGGUGAUCGGCCACACUGGAACUGAGACACGGUCCAGACUCCUACGGGAGGCAGCAGUAGGGAAUCUUCCAAUGGGCGAAAGCUUGACGGAGCAACGCCGCGUGAGUGAUGAAGGUCUUCGGAUCGUAAAACUCUGUUAUUAGGGAAGAACAAAUGUGUAAGUAACUAUGCACGUCUUGACGGUACCUAAUCAGAAAGCCACGGCUAACUACGUG